Molecule: ribosomal RNA, 426 nt
Filed under: uncultured bacterium
Lineage: Bacteria
Description: bacterial SSU rRNA
Rfam family: Bacterial small subunit ribosomal RNA
Source: RNAcentral
UGGGGAAUUUGGACAAUGGACGCAAGUCUGAUCCAGCCAUGCCGCGUGCGGGAAGAAGGCCUUCGGGUUGUAAACCGCUUUUGUCAGGGAAGAAACGAGUUUCUCUAAUACAGAGACUUAAUGACGGUACCGUAAGAAGAAGCACCGGCUAACUACGUGCCAGCAGCCGCGGUAAUACGUAGGGUUCGAGCGUUAAUCGGAAUUACUGGGCGUAAAGCGUGCGCAGGCGGUGAUGUAAGACAGAUGUGAAAUCCCCGGGCUCAACCUGGGACCUGCAUUUGUGACUGCAUAGCUAGAGUACGGAAGAGGGGGAUGGAAUUCCGCGUGUAGCAGUGAAAUGCGUAGAGAUGCGGAGGAACACCGAAGGCGAAGGCAAGCCCCUGGGCGUGUACUGGCGCUCAUGAACGAAAGCGUGGGGAGCAAACA